This 481-nucleotide ribosomal RNA is filed under the name uncultured bacterium. Its description in RNAcentral is "SSU rRNA". It matches the Rfam family "Bacterial small subunit ribosomal RNA", at positions 26 to 521 of the family's 1533-position model. The record is from RNAcentral.
AGAACGAACGCUGGCGGCAUGCCUAACACAUGCAAGUCGAACGCUUCCGGGGCUUCGGUCGCGGAGGAGUGGCGCACGGGUGAGUAGCGCGUGGGAACCUGCCCUGUUGUGGGGGAUAACCGAGGGAAACUUCGGCUAAUACCGCAUACGCCCCGGGACUUGGUCUUCGGAUUAGGUCUGGGGGGAAAGAUUGAUCGCAGCAGGAGGGGCCCGCGUCGGAUUAGCUGGUUGGUGGGGUAACGGCUCACCAAGGCGAUGAUCCGUAGCUGGUCUGAGAGGAUGAUCAGCCACACUGGGACUGAGACACGGCCCAGACUCCUACGGGAGGCAGCAGUGGGGAAUAUUGGACAAUGGGGGCAACCCUGAUCCAGCAAUGCCGCGUGAGUGAUGAAGGCCUUAGGGUUGUAAAGCUCUUUCGCCCGCGACGAUGAUGACGGUAGCGGAGAAGAAGCCCGGCUAACUUCGCGCCAGCAGCCGCGGU